ACUUUCUUAGUAUAACUAUUAUAACUGACUUCCAAUCAGUAGAUUCUGUAAACCACGGAAGAAAGUA
This 67-nucleotide transfer RNA is filed under the name Chingawaemys sp. LAV1667. RNAcentral's name for it is "tRNA-Gly". Lineage: Eukaryota; Metazoa; Chordata; Mammalia; Rodentia; Muridae. The record is from RNAcentral.